RNAcentral lists this ribosomal RNA (497 nucleotides) under uncultured bacterium. RNAcentral's name for it is "partial 16S ribosomal RNA". It matches the Rfam family "Bacterial small subunit ribosomal RNA", at positions 28 to 507 of the family's 1533-position model. The record is from RNAcentral.
GAUGAACGCUGGCGGCGUGCUUAACACAUGCAAGUCGAACGAACGGACGCGAAGCUUGCUUCUCUGAUGUUAGCCGCGGGCGUGAGAGUAACACGUGUAUCCCCUACCUAUAAGACUGGGAUAAUUACGGGAAACCGUAUCUUAUACCGGAUAAUAUUUUGCACCGCGGGGUUCAAAGGUAAAUUUCGGCCUUGCUGUCACUUAUAGCUGGUUCCGCGCUGCAUUAUCUAGUUGGUAAGGUAACAGCUUACCAGGGCGACGAUGCGUAGCCGAGCUGAGAGGGUGGUCGGCCACACGGGAACUGAGACGCGGUCCAUACGCCUACGAGAGGCAGCAGUAGGGAAUCUUACGCAAAAGGCGAGAACCUGACGGAGCGGGGCGGCGUGAGUGAUGAAGGUGUUCGGUUCGGGAAGCUCUGUUUUGAGGUAAGAACAGAUGUGGAAUGAAACGUGGAGAUAUUGACGGUACCUGGUCAAGAAGCACCGGCUAACUACGUG